CGCCCCUGCGGCACCGCCGUCGCCGUCCCAGCGCCGCAGGGCCAAGAACCCCGACCUCAACCGGGAGCCCACCCCCGACACCGACGACGACGAGUGAACUGCUGUAAACCCCCGCCAAUUCUUCAGUUCUUCUCCGACCACCAUCACCACCUACAUACCUAGUACUAGUGCGUCUUAAUUAGUGGUUAGCAACCAGCAGCGAGGUAGCUAGCGGUAGCAGAGCAUCAACCAUCUCAGUGAGCAAGCAGAUACUAGUUCAGUCAGUUCAAGAAGACAUGGGGAAGCAAGCAUGGAUCGGACAUGCAAGGUGUUCGGUGAAAUGCCGGAUGAGCUCGGGGACCAAACCCGACCAAUAAUGGAGCCGCGACGUCGCAGUCAGCUCGGCCAGGGGGUUACUAAGUAGGGCCUGGGCUAUCAGCGACGGCGAGCUUGGUGGCAGUAGACUCAGGGUGUGUGAGUGCGUGCUUGGGCAUGGGCAUGCACCUAAGCAAGGUGCAUGGCCAUGUACCGACCUGCAUCAGAUAUAAGAGUGUUUGUAAAGAGAGAUACCGGCGAACAAACAAAAGCUUCAAGAAUCAUUCCAUGCACGCACUCUCUCUUUCGUCUCUGUUUCUUCAUCUUGAUUCCCACAUCAUCAUGGCCCGAUUCCAGGAAAGCAGCAGCGGCAGUGCAAUUCCGUGUGCUUUUUCGAGAGGAACACCGAACACGGCGGCCAGGUCCCAGUUCCCACCCGCCUCAAAAGCAGCAGCAGCAGCCGCCACCGCCGUAGCGUCUCGUGGUGCGCCUCCCCUCGUGUCGGCGUGCCGUGGCCGUGGUGGGCCGCCGACGUGGCCCGUGGUGCGUCUCCCCUCGUGUCGGCGUGCCGCGGCCGUGGUUAGCCGGUGGUGGGCCGCAUCCUCCACCUGCGCCGGCCACCGCCGGGCGAGUCAGGCGUACUGCCUCGUGUGUACGGCAUAUGAUGAUGGGUGUCAGUGGAGUCUGGAGUGGACCGGUGGUGCUAGGUGCUCACGAGGUUUGGGUUUAGCGCGGGCCCCGUGGGGGAUUAGUGCGUGGCGUGGGUGAUGCUGCGUCUUAUCGGGCUAAUGAUAAUGAUGCGCGUGUGUCGGCACUUGAUUACGCCGCUUACGAGCCGCCCUGGAAGAUUCGUGUGGAGUCGGACGUCGCAGUCAGUCCAUGGACAUGGACGGACCAGGUGUCGACCGGCCGCACCAGCACCACCAGGACCCAGGAGUACUUGUUUCCUUUUUCUUCUGGAUGGAAUUGUGCAUGGGAGUCCAUGAAAAUCCAUGGAGCCAAUCAUCAGUCGCCGAACUAUCCGGAUCGAGCGCGGGAGGGCGCCAAAUGACCUCGUAUCACUCCCCGUUGAACUGGGUGACAAGUUUAGUUAGAUUGUGAGAAAGUUUCAUAGGAUCUGAGAAUUGCCGUUCGAGUCGGCAUCAAUCAGGUUUUGUGCAACUUGUAGUGAAAACAAAACAAGUGGGUGGUGAGUGAGCAAGCAAGCUGCCAGGGAAACUCUGCGGAUUUGGAGAAACAAAACAAACAGGUAAAACAAGCUGCCGGCCGGGACCAUUCUCUGAUUGUCUGUUUGACCUGUUCGGUGGCGGCGUAAACAUGCAUUUCUGAGCUGUCGAGAGCAUAAAAACAAAUUGGGACGCUGAGAUUCCGAAAGCAGCGUGUGUGUUUAUAUAUGAAUUCAGAGAUCCGCGUAUCAUCGUUCGGCUUGCAUUCGGCGUUGACGCUCGUACUAUCAUGUUCUCUUCUUUUAUGGAUUGGAUCUGUUGAUCGGCCGGCCCUAUUGUAGGAUUCGUAUGGGUGCACGAUCGAGACAAUCUCAGAUGUUCUUUUUUAUAGGAAAUGCUAAUGCCUCUGUUUCGUCGCCAGAAACCAUCACACUAGCUUGGACAACAAAGUACGGAGUAGAAAAUAGAG
This 1929-nucleotide long non-coding RNA is filed under the name Triticum aestivum (bread wheat). RNAcentral describes it as "long non-coding RNA (TAES_LNC017548)". Lineage: Eukaryota; Viridiplantae; Streptophyta; Magnoliopsida; Poales; Poaceae. The record is from RNAcentral.